Molecule: ribosomal RNA, 254 nt
Filed under: uncultured prokaryote
Description: partial 16S ribosomal RNA
Rfam family: Bacterial small subunit ribosomal RNA
Source: RNAcentral
UACGGGGGGAGCAAGCGUUGUUCGGAUUUACUGGGCGUAAAGGGCGCGUAGGCGGCCUCUGCAAGUCAGUUGUGAAAUCUCCGGGCUUAACUCGGAAAGGUCAACUGAUACUGCAGGGCUAGAGUGCGGAAGGGGCAACUGGAAUUCUCGGUGUAGCGGUGAAAUGCGUAGAUAUCGAGAGGAACACCUGCGGCGAAGGCGGGUUGCUGGGCUGACACUGACGCUGAGGUGCGAAAGCGUGGGGAGCAAACAGG